GGUCCCAUGGUGUAAUGGUUAGCACUCUGGACUCUGAAUCCAUCUACCCGAGUUCAAAUCUCGGUUUGACCU
Molecule: transfer RNA, 72 nt
Filed under: Nematostella vectensis (starlet sea anemone)
Lineage: Eukaryota; Metazoa; Cnidaria; Anthozoa; Actiniaria; Edwardsiidae
Rfam family: tRNA
About the family: Transfer RNA (tRNA) molecules are approximately 80 nucleotides in length. Their secondary structure includes four short double-helical elements and three loops (D, anti-codon, and T loops).
Source: Rfam by way of RNAcentral